This 2924-nucleotide ribosomal RNA is filed under the name Staphylococcus aureus. RNAcentral describes it as "23S ribosomal RNA". It matches the Rfam family "Bacterial large subunit ribosomal RNA". Lineage: Bacteria; Bacillati; Bacillota; Bacilli; Caryophanales; Staphylococcaceae. The record is from RNAcentral.
GAUUAAGUUAUUAAGGGCGCACGGUGGAUGCCUUGGCACUAGAAGCCGAUGAAGGACGUUACUAACGACGAUAUGCUUUGGGGAGCUGUAAGUAAGCUUUGAUCCAGAGAUUUCCGAAUGGGGAAACCCAGCAUGAGUUAUGUCAUGUUAUCGAUAUGUGAAUACAUAGCAUAUCAGAAGGCACACCCGGAGAACUGAAACAUCUUAGUACCCGGAGGAAGAGAAAGAAAAUUCGAUUCCCUUAGUAGCGGCGAGCGAAACGGGAAGAGCCCAAACCAACAAGCUUGCUUGUUGGGGUUGUAGGACACUCUAUACGGAGUUACAAAGGACGACAUUAGACGAAUCAUCUGGAAAGAUGAAUCAAAGAAGGUAAUAAUCCUGUAGUCGAAAAUGUUGUCUCUCUUGAGUGGAUCCUGAGUACGACGGAGCACGUGAAAUUCCGUCGGAAUCUGGGAGGACCAUCUCCUAAGGCUAAAUACUCUCUAGUGACCGAUAGUGAACCAGUACCGUGAGGGAAAGGUGAAAAGCACCCCGGAAGGGGAGUGAAAUAGAACCUGAAACCGUGUGCUUACAAGUAGUCAGAGCCCGUUAAUGGGUGAUGGCGUGCCUUUUGUAGAAUGAACCGGCGAGUUACGAUUUGAUGCAAGGUUAAGCAGUAAAUGUGGAGCCGUAGCGAAAGCGAGUCUGAAUAGGGCGUUUAGUAUUUGGUCGUAGACCCGAAACCAGGUGAUCUACCCUUGGUCAGGUUGAAGUUCAGGUAACACUGAAUGGAGGACCGAACCGACUUACGUUGAAAAGUGAGCGGAUGAACUGAGGGUAGCGGAGAAAUUCCAAUCGAACCUGGAGAUAGCUGGUUCUCUCCGAAAUAGCUUUAGGGCUAGCCUCAAGUGAUGAUUAUUGGAGGUAGAGCACUGUUUGGACGAGGGGCCCCUCUCGGGUUACCGAAUUCAGACAAACUCCGAAUGCCAAUUAAUUUAACUUGGGAGUCAGAACAUGGGUGAUAAGGUCCGUGUUCGAAAGGGAAACAGCCCAGACCACCAGCUAAGGUCCCAAAAUAUAUGUUAAGUGGAAAAGGAUGUGGCGUUGCCCAGACAACUAGGAUGUUGGCUUAGAAGCAGCCAUCAUUUAAAGAGUGCGUAAUAGCUCACUAGUCGAGUGACACUGCGCCGAAAAUGUACCGGGGCUAAACAUAUUACCGAAGCUGUGGAUUGUCCUUUGGACAAUGGUAGGAGAGCGUUCUAAGGGCGUUGAAGUAUGAUCGUAAGGACAUGUGGAGCGCUUAGAAGUGAGAAUGCCGGUGUGAGUAGCGAAAGACGGGUGAGAAUCCCGUCCACCGAUUGACUAAGGUUUCCAGAGGAAGGCUCGUCCGCUCUGGGUUAGUCGGGUCCUAAGCUGAGGCCGACAGGCGUAGGCGAUGGAUAACAGGUUGAUAUUCCUGUACCACCUAUAAUCGUUUUAAUCGAUGGGGGGGACGCAGUAGGAUAGGCGAAGCGUGCGAUUGGAUUGCACGUCUAAGCAGUAAGGCUGAGUAUUAGGCAAAUCCGGUACUCGUUAAGGCUGAGCUGUGAUGGGGAGAAGACAUUGUGUCUUCGAGUCGUUGAUUUCACACUGCCGAGAAAAGCCUCUAGAUAGAAAAUAGGUGCCCGUACCGCAAACCGACACAGGUAGUCAAGAUGAGAAUUCUAAGGUGAGCGAGCGAACUCUCGUUAAGGAACUCGGCAAAAUGACCCCGUAACUUCGGGAGAAGGGGUGCUCUUUAGGGUUAACGCCCAGAAGAGCCGCAGUGAAUAGGCCCAAGCGACUGUUUAUCAAAAACACAGGUCUCUGCUAAACCGUAAGGUGAUGUAUAGGGGCUGACGCCUGCCCGGUGCUGGAAGGUUAAGAGGAGUGGUUAGCUUCUGCGAAGCUACGAAUCGAAGCCCCAGUAAACGGCGGCCGUAACUAUAACGGUCCUAAGGUAGCGAAAUUCCUUGUCGGGUAAGUUCCGACCCGCACGAAAGGCGUAACGAUUUGGGCACUGUCUCAACGAGAGACUCGGUGAAAUCAUAGUACCUGUGAAGAUGCAGGUUACCCGCGACAGGACGGAAAGACCCCGUGGAGCUUUACUGUAGCCUGAUAUUGAAAUUCGGCACAGCUUGUACAGGAUAGGUAGGAGCCUUUGAAACGUGAGCGCUAGCUUACGUGGAGGCGCUGGUGGGAUACUACCCUAGCUGUGUUGGCUUUCUAACCCGCACCACUUAUCGUGGUGGGAGACAGUGUCAGGCGGGCAGUUUGACUGGGGCGGUCGCCUCCUAAAAGGUAACGGAGGCGCUCAAAGGUUCCCUCAGAAUGGUUGGAAAUCAUUCAUAGAGUGUAAAGGCAUAAGGGAGCUUGACUGCGAGACCUACAAGUCGAGCAGGGUCGAAAGACGGACUUAGUGAUCCGGUGGUUCCGCAUGGAAGGGCCAUCGCUCAACGGAUAAAAGCUACCCCGGGGAUAACAGGCUUAUCUCCCCCAAGAGUUCACAUCGACGGGGAGGUUUGGCACCUCGAUGUCGGCUCAUCGCAUCCUGGGGCUGUAGUCGGUCCCAAGGGUUGGGCUGUUCGCCCAUUAAAGCGGUACGCGAGCUGGGUUCAGAACGUCGUGAGACAGUUCGGUCCCUAUCCGUCGUGGGCGUAGGAAAUUUGAGAGGAGCUGUCCUUAGUACGAGAGGACCGGGAUGGACAUACCUCUGGUGUACCAGUUGUCGUGCCAACGGCAUAGCUGGGUAGCUAUGUGUGGACGGGAUAAGUGCUGAAAGCAUCUAAGCAUGAAGCCCCCCUCAAGAUGAGAUUUCCCAACUUCGGUUAUAAGAUCCCUCAAAGAUGAUGAGGUUAAUAGGUUCGAGGUGGAAGCAUGGUGACAUGUGGAGCUGACGAAUACUAAUCGAUCGAAGACUUAAUCAA